This is a non-coding RNA of Apiotrichum porosum, 84 nucleotides long. The record is from the annotation of a RefSeq genome assembly. Lineage: Eukaryota; Fungi; Basidiomycota; Tremellomycetes; Trichosporonales; Trichosporonaceae.
GACUCUUUGGCGCAGUGGCUUAGCGUGUUGCUUUCCGAUUCGUUCGUGUGGCAAUGGUCCAGGGUUCGAUCCCCUGAAGAGUCU